AUGAGAGGUAAUCUUGGAGCAAGACCACCACAACAACGUGCUUCAAGAAGGCCAAUUUAUGUUGAAGCUUCUGAAGGUGAAGAGUAUGAUGAUGCCCUUGGGGAACCUGAUCUCUAUGCAUAUCGGAGAGUACCGAACCCUACAUAUGCAAGAGAAACAUACAAGGUGAACGUUGUGAUCCCAACUUUUAAUGGAAAUGUUGAUAUUGAAGGGUGCCUAGAUUGUUUAUAUGAAGUGGAGACUUUCUUUGAGGUAAUGGAGGUUCCGAAAGAUCAUAGAGUUCCUUUGAUCGCAUACAAGCUGAAAGGAGGAGCCAGUGCAUGGUGGCAGCGCGUUCAAAAAGAGCGCAUGCUGAGAGGAGAACCUCGUGUGAGAACUUGGCGGCAAAUGAAAAGUCUCUUGAAAGGGAUAUUUUUGCCCGCUGACUAUGACCGGAUCCUAUCUAUGCAAUUCCAAAAUUGUGCUUAA
This 468-nucleotide ribosomal RNA is filed under the name Triticum aestivum (bread wheat). RNAcentral's name for it is "partial small subunit ribosomal RNA". Lineage: Eukaryota; Viridiplantae; Streptophyta; Magnoliopsida; Poales; Poaceae. The record is from RNAcentral.